Molecule: long non-coding RNA, 653 nt
Organism: Camelina sativa (false flax)
Lineage: Eukaryota; Viridiplantae; Streptophyta; Magnoliopsida; Brassicales; Brassicaceae
Source: RefSeq, a predicted model, not a curated record
AUGACAUACAUGUUAACUCCACUAUUGUAGAGGCCUUUACAAUUAUUUUCCCCAAAUUCUAGGGUUGUCGAGGGGGAAUUCAAUUUUCGGAGAUUUGGUGAAGGUAAGCAUACUCAGUUUAUGCUUCUUUCAUCUUUCAUCCUCAUCUUAAGAGAGAGUUUUCGAUUUGGGGAGGAUCAUGUGUUGUAUUACUCUCACCUCAAAACCCUAGCCACCGCCAAACACAUCGGAUUUUAUCCCGCGGCCAUUGCGAGACCAGCUGGCUUCAAUAUUGAAGCCGAUUGAUCAGUUGGGCUUCUUCUAUCGUUAUCCCUCUCAGAUUCAGCUCCAAAUCAGAAGUUCACCGGCAAUAGAGUCGUACUAUAAGGUAUAAGAGGAAAAAUAUGUUUGGAUACACUUGUAUCCUAAACAUGAUCCGAAUAAGAUAAUACCGGAUCAUUAAAGAUCCGCAUGUUUUUGUUCAGUUAGUUUACCUCUUUGCUCUUGAUUUGAUUUUUUUUUUUUGUUUUUGUUUUCUGUUUUCGUAGGGGUAUGUAAUGGAAUUUCUGUAAAGUUUUUUUUUUUCUGCUUUUGUACUCGAUAUAUAAUUGAUUUUGAUAUUUUUUUUUACAAAAUCCAAAUCGAUUUUGCAAUUUACAAGUUUUACAUACUAA